This 471-nucleotide ribosomal RNA is filed under the name uncultured Thiomonas sp. RNAcentral's name for it is "bacterial SSU rRNA". It matches the Rfam family "Bacterial small subunit ribosomal RNA", at positions 60 to 527 of the family's 1533-position model. The record is from RNAcentral. Lineage: Bacteria; Pseudomonadati; Pseudomonadota; Betaproteobacteria; Burkholderiales.
GAUAGAACGGCAGCGCGGGGCAACCUGGCGGCGAGUGGCGAACGGGUGAGUAAUACAUCGGAACGUGCCCUGUGAUGGGGGAUAACUACGCGAAAGCGUAGCUAAUACCGCAUACGACCCAAGGGUGAAAGUGGGGGAUCGCAAGACCUCACGUCAUAGGAGCGGCCGAUGGCGGAUUAGCUAGUUGGUGAGGUAAAGGCUUACCAAGGCGACGAUCCGUAGCUGGUCUGAGAGGACGACCAGCCACACUGGGACUGAGACACGGCCCAGACUCCUACGGGAGGCAGCAGUGGGGAAUCUUGGACAAUGGGGGCAACCCUGAUCCAGCAAUGCCGCGUGUGGGAUGAAGGCCUUCGGGUUGUAAACCACUUUUGGCGGGGGCGAAAUAUCGAGUGCUAAUACCAUUCGGUGAUGACGGUACCCGCAGAAUAAGCACCGGCUAACUACGUGCCAGCAGCCGGGGGUAAUACA